This is a long non-coding RNA of Camelus dromedarius (Arabian camel), 1993 nucleotides long. RefSeq lists it as uncharacterized. The transcript is spliced from 2 exons. The record is from RefSeq and is a predicted model, not a curated record. Lineage: Eukaryota; Metazoa; Chordata; Mammalia; Artiodactyla; Camelidae.
CAGCACCCCCGCCCCGCCCGCUGGCUGCUGCGAGCCCCUCCCUUCUUCCUUCCGCGGAGCCGCCUGCAGGCUGGAGCCGCUGAUUGGCCGGCGGUGAGAGUGGCAGGUGCGCCCUGCAGUAGAGGUGGCCUCCGAACCCAGGAAAAGAGGAACAAAGACGGAGGGACUGAGAAGUUUUGAACUCCAUUUAUUCAAAGGGACCCUCAAGUUUUUAGGCUCUACUGGAUUGGAGAUCUUGGUUCCCAAGAAGGAAAACACUUCCACCAGAGGACAACAUAAGCAUUCCACAGGAUCUGACUAUCAUCUAGCCACUUUGGGCUCCUAAUUCCAGUGAUUGGCCUUCUCAUUCCUGGAUCAUCAAGCAAAAUAGAAUUAAUAUGUUAAUAUAUUUUCAAGAUUAACUUGCCCUUAUUAACGUGAAGAACCUGGGCCACUGCUGUAUAGUGGAGGCAGGAAGGAAUAGUCACAAACUUCAUUGAUGCAUCACCUGGUGUUUUGUGACAAGUGAUAAUGGUAUCUUGGCAUUUACAGCAACUAUGUCCUCAUGGAGGUAAAGCAAAUCAAACCUAGAUGAAGGUCUGGCUCACUCUACCAGGCAGGCAACCUUAGAUCAGCUGAGACACUGGUCAAAGAUGAGAGAAAUUUAGAAUUAGUGGUGGGGAGGAGAGAUGCUGACUCUCAGCAAGGCUUUGGGAGCAGCUGUAGCCACCAGGAUAUUCCACAAACCCUCUUAUAGAGAUUGCAGCUGGCCAGCACCUGGAAGGAGACUCAGGGGCAGAUUAGAGUUAAGGGAGAGAAAAGGUGGGUCUGAGGAGUCCUAAGGCUCUAGUGCACCAGCACCCACUCUGAGCAUCACUUAGCACCCUCCUGGCCCCGUGUCCUACUGCAGGCACCUGUCCUACUGCCAGUUCUUGGAGGCUUUGACCAGCUUCCUGCAGGUGCAACUGGGGAGUCCCUUACUCUGGCUAAGGUGUGAGCCUCUCCUUUCCUUUCCUGGAAGUUUCUGACAAGAAAUGCAGGAUGCGGAAUGUGCAGCCUACAAGUGCUUAUGUGAUAGUCAAAGUCCAAGGGCCACUAAAUCCAUGGCAGGUGGAAGCCUGUGGGAAAAGCCUUCUCUUCAUUUCCUGGCUUUGAUGAGGCCUCCCAGAAAGACUGUGGACUCCAGCACAGGUCGGCCAUGGUCAUUGUGAUAACAUAUCCAUACUUCAGCAUUUCCUUUUUCCCUGUUUUCACCACCUUGUUCAUUAUUCCUACUCUAUGGGUCACAUUCCCAGAUAAAUUCCCUGUGAGGAGGCCUUUUUGGGAGGAAUUCAUGUCAAGACAGUAGUCUUAUUAACUAAGUUGAAGUAAUGAAUUCAAAUAAUUCAGAUCUUAAUAUACAAUUUUGCUUCCUUAUUCAUAUGUACAGGAUUUAGGAAAAAUGAUGGUUUUGUAAAUUAAAAUAAUUGUUUCAACUUAGCCAAACUUUAUUCAAUUUCCAUUUGAAAGCUAGUAGUUGCAGGAGUAGGUUGUUAUAUCAAUAAAAUGUUCAUUUUACUGUAUGUAAUGUGCACACAUACACUUUGAGAUUUAUACACUGUGAAUAAGAGGGAAUUCUUAUGCUUUGAAUUAGUAUGAAAUUGUCCAACACUCUAUAUUGUUGAAUAAUUAAUACCGUUACAUUCUCAAGGUAAAUAAAUAUGAAAAGAAGGGAAAUGAUCUUCAGUAACAAGGUAAAUGGAAUUUGUGGCAUUAUUUCUGUUGAUAUUUGUAAUGUCAAUUUACAUUUCCAACAUCAGAGGUCAUGAAAGAUAAAUGGUGAAAAGAAAAUUUGAGCUUUGUUGAAAAACUGAAGUUUGAAAUCUGAACUGUAACAUUCUUAGUUUUUUUUUUGUUUUUGUUUUUUUGUUUUGUUUUGUUUUUUUACAAAGGAAGAGCCACAGUCUACUUAAUUUUAUAUGUAAAGGAAGAAAAAUAAUUUUUAAUAAUAAACUUAACUGAUAGAUUACAAAAA